UACGUAGGGUGCGAGCGUUAAUCGGAAUUACUGGGCGUAAAGCGUGCGCAGGCGGUUCGUCGUGUCCGAUGUGAAAGCCCCGGGCUCAACCUGGGAAUGGCAUUGGAAACUGGCGGGCUUGAGUGUGGCAGAGGGGGGUGGAAUUCCACGUGUAGCGGUGAGAUGCGUAGAGAUGUGGAGGAACACCAAUGGCGAAGGCAGCCUUCUGGGCCAACACUGACGCUCAUGCACGAAAGCGUGGGGAGCAAACAGG
This 253-nucleotide ribosomal RNA is filed under the name uncultured bacterium. RNAcentral's name for it is "partial 16S ribosomal RNA". It matches the Rfam family "Bacterial small subunit ribosomal RNA", at positions 524 to 776 of the family's 1533-position model. The record is from RNAcentral.